GAAUUCGCCCUUAGAGUUUGAUCCUGGCUCAGGACGAACGCUGGCGGCGUGCUUAACACAUGCAAGUCGAGCGAAGUGCUUAGGAUGAUCUAUUCGUAGUGACUCCUAAGUAUCUUAGCGGCGGACGGGUGAGUAACGCGUGAGAAACCUGCCUUUCACAAAGGAAUAGCCUCGGGAAACUGGGAUUAAUACCUUAUGAUACCUUAACUCCACAUGGAGCCUAGGUUAAAGCGUAAAGCGGUGAAAGAUGGUCUCGCGUCCCAUUAGUUAGUUGGUGAGGUAAAGGCUCACCAAGACCAUGAUGGGUAACCGGCCUGAGAGGGUGAACGGUCACACUGGAACUGAGACACGGUCCAGACUCCUACGGGAGGCAGCAGUGGGGAAUAUUGCACAAUGGAGGAAACUCUGAUGCAGCGACGCCGCGUGAAUGAUGAAGGUCUUCGGAUCGUAAAAUUCUGUCCUAGGGGACGAUAAUGACGGUACCCUAGGAGGAAGCCCCGGCUAACUAUGUGCCAGCAGCCGCGGUAAUACAUAGGGGGCAAGCGUUGUCCGGAUUUAUUGGGCGUAAAGGGUACGCAGGCGGUCCUUUAAGUCAGAUGUGAAAUCUUACGGCUCAACCGUAAUUAGCAUUUGAAACUGGAGGACUUGAGUUAAGGAGAGGAAAGUGGAAUUCCUAGUGUAGCGGUGAAAUGCGUAGAUAUUAGGAGGAAUACCAGUGGCGAAGGCGACUUUCUGGACUUAUACUGACGCUGAGGUACGAAAGCGUGGGGAGCAAACAGGAUUAGAUACCCUGGUAGUCCACGCUGUA
This 808-nucleotide ribosomal RNA is filed under the name uncultured bacterium. RNAcentral describes it as "bacterial SSU rRNA". It matches the Rfam family "Bacterial small subunit ribosomal RNA", at positions 1 to 804 of the family's 1533-position model. The record is from RNAcentral.